AGUGAAUAGAUACCCUGGUAGUCCACGCCGUAAACGAUGCAUACUAGGAAUGUGGAGAAAUCGACCCUCUGCGUUUCGAAAGCUAACGCGUUAAGUAUGCCGCCUGGGUAGUACGGCCGCAAGGCUAAAACUCAAAGGAAUUGACGGGGACCCGCACAAGCGGUGGAACAUGUGGUUUAAUUCGUCAGCAAGCGAAGAACCUUACCAGGGCUUGACAUCCCGCGAAUCUCUAGGAAACUAGAGAGUGCCGUAAGGAGCGCGGUGACAGGUGCUGCACGGCCGUCGUCAGCUCGUGCUGUGAAGUGUCCCGUUAAGUCGGUCAACGAGCGCAACCCCUAUUGCAUGUUGUAUUUUUCAUGCGAGACUGCCGGUGUUAAAUCGGAGGAAGGUGGGGAUGACGUCAGGUCAGCGUGGCUCUUACGUCCUGGGCGACACACGUGUUACAAUGGGUAGAUCAAAGGGUCGCUAAGCCGAAAGGU
RNAcentral lists this ribosomal RNA (479 nucleotides) under uncultured bacterium. RNAcentral describes it as "bacterial SSU rRNA". It matches the Rfam family "Bacterial small subunit ribosomal RNA", at positions 774 to 1263 of the family's 1533-position model. The record is from RNAcentral.